RNAcentral lists this ribosomal RNA (521 nucleotides) under uncultured Glomeromycotina. RNAcentral describes it as "SSU rRNA". It matches the Rfam family "Eukaryotic small subunit ribosomal RNA", at positions 569 to 1092 of the family's 1831-position model. The record is from RNAcentral. Lineage: Eukaryota; Fungi; Glomeromycota.
AGCAGCCGCGGUAAUUCCAGCUCCAAUAGCGUAUAUUAAAGUUGCUGCAGUUAAAAAGCUCGUAGUUGAAUUUCGGGACCAAUAUGUCGGUCGUGCCUCGGUACGUACUGGCAUCGUUGGUUUCUCCUUUCUGAAGAACCAUGAUGUCAUUUAUUUGGUGUCGUGGGGAAUCAGGACUGUUACUUUGAAAAAAUUAGAGUGUUUAAAGCAGGCUCACGCUUGAAUACAUUAGCAUGGAAUAAUGAAAUAGGACGUUUGAUUCUAUGUUGUUGGUUUCUAGGAUCGACGUAAUGAUUAAUAGGGAUAGUUGGGGGCAUUAGUAUUCAAUUGUCAGAGGUGAAAUUCUUGGAUUUAUUGAAGACUAACUACUGCGAAAGCAUUUGCCAAGGAUGUUUUCAUUAAUCAAGAACGAAAGUUAGGGGAUCGAAGACGAUCAGAUACCGUCGUAGUCUUAACCAUAAACUAUGCCGACUAGGGAUCGGAUGAUGUUAAUUUUUUAAUGACUCAUUCGGCGCCUUACG